CCUACGGGGGGCAGCAGUGAGGAAUAUUGGUCAAUGGACGAGAGUCUGAACCAGCCAAGUAGCGUGAAGGAUGACUGCCCUAUGGGUUGUAAACUUCUUUUAUAUGGGAAUAAAACGUUCCACGUGUGGGAUUUUGUAUGUACCAUAUGAAUAAGGAUCGGCUAACUCCGUGCCAGCAGCCGCGGUAAUACGGAGGAUCCGAGCGUUAUCCGGGUUUAUUGGGUUUAAAGGGAGCGUAGGUGGAUUGUUAAGUCAGUUGUGAAAGUUUGCGGCUCAACCGUAAAAUUGCAGUUGAAACUGGCAGUCUUGAGUACAGUAGAGGUGGGCGGAAUUCGUGGUGUAGCGGUGAAAUGCUUAGAUAUCACGAAGAACUCCGAUUGCGAAGGCAGUUCACUGGACUGCAACUGACACUGAGGCUCGAAAGUGUGGGUAUCAAACAGGAUUAGAUACCCGUGUAGUC
Molecule: ribosomal RNA, 460 nt
Filed under: uncultured bacterium
Lineage: Bacteria
Description: partial 16S ribosomal RNA
Rfam family: Bacterial small subunit ribosomal RNA
Source: RNAcentral